RNAcentral lists this ribosomal RNA (500 nucleotides) under uncultured bacterium. RNAcentral's name for it is "bacterial SSU rRNA". It matches the Rfam family "Bacterial small subunit ribosomal RNA", at positions 1036 to 1533 of the family's 1533-position model. The record is from RNAcentral.
AGCUUAAGCAUGGCUGUCGUCAGCUCCCGUCGUGGUUAUGUUGGGUUAAGUCCCGUAACGAGCGCAACCCUUGUCCUUAGCUUACCAGCACGUUAUGGUGGGCACUCUAAGGAGACUGCCGGUGACAAACCGGAGGAAGGUGGGGAUGACGUCAAGUCAUCAUGGCCCUUACGGCCUGGGCUACACACGUGCUACAAUGGUCGGUACAGAGGGUUGCCAAGCCGCGAGGUGGAGCUAAUCUCACAAAACCGAUCAUAGUCCGGAUCGCAGUCUGCAACUCGACUGCGUGAAGUCGGAAUCGCUAGUAAUCGCGAAUCAGAAUGUCGCGGUGAAUACGUUCCCGGGCCUUGUACACACCGCCCGUCACACCAUGGGAGUGGGUUGCACCAGAAGUAGCUAGUCUAACCUUCGGGGGGACGGUUACCACGGUGUGAUUCAUGACUGGGGUGAAGUCGUAACAAGGUAGCCGUAGGGGAACCUGCGGCUGGAUCACCUCCUUA